CCCCUCCCUCUCUCUGCACCUAGAAGGCAGGGAGCAGGGUCCCCACCCUCUUUGCUGCUGGAACCCGGUAUGGAAAAGGUUAAGAAUCACCGGAUUAGACACUAAAGUAGGGAUUUUCCACCGUGGUGUCUGGCUUAUGCAGUGUAUUAACCAUCUCCUUGUGCAGAAGCGUUUGGCACAGGAAUGCUUUAGUCCUGCUUCUCCUCCUCCCUCCAGACUGCAGCGGGGAAAUGAAACCAAACACAAAGACAUUUCCUGGAGCACUGGAUUCCGUUCAGACUCUGAGCCUGGUUGCCUCUGGCUGCUCUGGUACUAAGAAAAAAAAGACAACCACGUAAACACCAAGAUCCUCAUUUAUAACCAGCCCCCCAAGAAGCAGCUGCCUUUCUGCCCAGGCUGUGACGGCAGGCCGAAGAUGAAGGCUUUUCUUCUCACCCUGCUGGUGGCGGUUCUGUGUGCGGA
Long non-coding RNA from Trachemys scripta elegans, 462 nucleotides. RefSeq lists it as uncharacterized. The record is from RefSeq and is a predicted model, not a curated record. NCBI's taxonomy places the organism in Eukaryota, Metazoa, Chordata, Testudines, Emydidae. The transcript has 2 exons.